RNAcentral lists this ribosomal RNA (497 nucleotides) under uncultured bacterium. RNAcentral describes it as "partial 16S ribosomal RNA". It matches the Rfam family "Bacterial small subunit ribosomal RNA", at positions 28 to 507 of the family's 1533-position model. The record is from RNAcentral.
GAUGAACGCUGGCGGCGUGCCUAAUACAUGCAAGUCGAGCGAACAGACGAUGAGCUUGCUCCUCUGACGUUAGCGGCGGACGGGUGUGUAACACGUGUAUCACCUACUUAUAAUACUGGGAUAUCUUCGGGAAACCGGAGCUAAUACCGGAUAAUAUCUUGAACCGUAUGGUUCAAUAGUGAAAUUCGGCUUUGCUGUCACUUCUCGCUGCAUCCGGGCCGCAUUAGCUAGUUGGUACGGUAACGGCUUACCAAGGCAACGAUGCGUAGCCGAGGUGACAGGGUGGUCGGCGACACUGGAAGUGAGACAGGGUCCAUGCGCCUAAGAGAGGCAGCAGUAGGGAACGUUACGCAAUGGGCGAAAGCCUGACGGAGCGACGCCGAGUGAGUGAUGAAGGUGUUCGGAUCGUAAAACUCUGUUAUUAGGGAAGAACAAAUGUGGAAGGAGCUAUACACGGCGUGACGGUACCGAAUAAGAAAGCACCGGCUAACUACGUG